UUUGGUUCUAGGGACUAAAGUUCACAUCCAAUGUUUAGAUACUAAUUAGGAGUAUUAAAUAUAGGUUAAUUACAAAACCAAUUGCAUAAGUGUGUGGCAGAAUCAUCCAAAUUAACCCAGCUAAAGUGUGCUAAACAUCGCCUCAAAUGCGAACAGACAUUUUAAUCGGAUCAAAAUGGUAGUCUGUCGGGUUUCACCCUAUACAACCAUGUAUUUGCAAUCGAAACACGCAUACAAUACUUGUACGAAGAUGAGCCCAGAGAAUACAACAAUCUAGAUGAAAAUAUUACAGAGGUCCCAGUUUAAUUAUUACAAACCGAGUUCAAAUCAUAAAGAAGUUCAGAGUUCAAAAGCAGCGGAAAAAAAUGGUAGGCAAACAACGAUACAUGAUAUCAUGGUGAAGCCAUCCAUGACAUCACUCACCAUGGUCCUCGCCCACCGAGGACGAGUCCCACUCAACCGUCCAUCCUGGAGGGAGCUGCUAUGGCCAAGUCACACUAGCAACCACAUCAUCAAUGUCAUUACCUGAAAAUAUAGGCACAAGCAAGGCUGAGUAUACUAAUACUCUACAAGACAUACCCGUUAGGUGGUAUCUAAUCCACCGACUCCUAGAUAUGCAAAGCUUUUUGGCUCAGGGGUUUGUUUUUGCUAAAAGCUUCUAAAGUGGGUCCUUGCUUUCAAGUUUUAGCAUCAAAUUCUAAUUAAUUAACCAAUCUAGGUAAGCACCUAUUCUAAGCAAGCAUGGUAGAACAAGCAAUUUAAUCAAGCCUUAAUAUUAAGCAUCAUCAUUGUUCAUCUUCUUACUCAGUGCAGCAUAGCGAUCAAGCAGUCUCAAUAUCUGUGAGAAAUAGACGAUUCGAAUCGAAUUUCUUAACCUUGCAAGGUGGACCUAAACACAUGACAUGUGCGUACCGCGACGGGUUCACACAUUAUCAACGGUUCCCAUCGAUCCCCAGCGCAGGUCCAGAGCCUACUUCCCUUGGAUACAAGGCCCCGUCGGUCCCGGAACGACACCGUGCUGUGGCCGUACUUGUACCCACAUGAUGCACCAAGGGAAACCAUUUCUAGAGAGAGUGGGGUAAAGGUUCACGUCCCGGUUCAAUUAGGUACUAGGCUUCCUGAUUACCAUCUUCUCAGUAUGUGUUUAGUACGUUCAAAGACAUGACCACGAACACCGACACGGUUCGACCUUAGCAAUUUCCUCUACACAGACGGGGCAUCAACCAUUUCAGGAACAUCGCACAAAGCCCCGCCCAUCAUCCUUAUGAUUCCAACAUAAGUAAACAGGAAACUCCUAUAGUUGGCGAGUGAUAGGAAAUCACACGACUUUUACCAUGUCCUUAUUUAGCCUAGCAUUAGAAUCAAUUUUAAUACGGAGAUAUAAAAUAAACAAAAUAAACUACCAUUAAGCACAUUAAAUCCAAAAGGCUUGUAAAUCAACCAGAAAAGUAUCAACAUCAUUUUUUCUAGAUUUUAUGCGGAAAACAAUGGCUAAUAGAAGUGAUUUCAACAUUUUAUCAAUUUUCCACUAUUUAUCAUGCAAAUAACAAAAUUAAGACAACAAACAAGCAUUAUAUUUAAAACAGCAUGAAAACCAAAGAUUCCACAAACACAAGUUGCAUGUCUGAAACAUAAAUGAUAAAUGGAAGGUAACAUAAUUAGUUUCACCAUUUUGGACCACCAUAUGAUUUAUAAAGCAUUUAUUGACUUUUAGACAAAAUAAAUAAUACAGAAUAGUAACAUGCACUCAAACAUUUUUGAAAUAAACUAGAUAUGAUUAGGAACUCAACAAAAGAAUAUUCACAUAUUUAUCAUUUUUCUACAAUUUUCUAGGUAUUUUCCAAUUUCGCAGCAAUUUAAAUCUAGGAAAUAAAUCAAAACCGAGGUCAACUUGCCAAACAAACCUCAAAUCUAAAGAUUCUCGCAUAUAGGACCCUAAAAUUUCCCAUAACCCCCCUCUCUUUCUUCUUCUUCUCCCACACAGCACACACAUCCACACAUAGAUAGGCACGGGCGGCGCGGCCGGCUCUACCCAACUAACGAGCUUGCAGGCGUGGGAGAGAGGAGGAAGGAACCACUAAUAAGUGGGCCCAGCAAAUUUUAAACUGUUCAACUUUCCCGACUCAAACGACCUAGCUACAGGCACCUAAAAAUCUCCCAAAAAUACUCAUUUGAAAGAUAAAGUCACAAAGAACACAAUGCCAUAGGAAUCAUUUGAAGAACUUCUCAAGUUUUCACACAAUUGUCAAAAGAAAACAGCCAAAACUAAAAUUUAAAGGAAUUUUAACACAAGGAAAAAUCAUUGAAAAAUUAAGUAAAAAUAUUAUAAAAUUAUCAAAUUGCAUCUAGUAUUUAAAUAAAAUAAUAGGAGGCACAUUUGCAUAGCAAAAAUUGGAGUUGCUUCACAAGUUUGAAUUUUAACAAUAAACAACAAUUAUAUGAACUUAAACAAUGCAUGGCCAAGAUGCUUAAUUAUUCACAAAUGACGCUCAUGAUACUCAAUUAUGCACAAAUGAAGCUCAUGAUUCUCAAUUAUGCACAAAUGAUGCUCGUGAUGCGCGGCGUGCAAAGGUGCCAUCUUCAACGCGAAUUUUCUCACAAAUUUGAACUACGCGUUUGAAUUUCCAAAAAUAAAAGUUGGAGUUCAAAGUAUAUGCUAUAACUUUUAUAAAAGCCGACAUAUGAAAAACUUGAUGGAUUUGGAGAUAAACUUGGGAGAAGUUUGGUGGAACGUCGGCCAAAACUGGAUUUGAAAAUAAUUUGAUUUUCAGCCAAAUUUCUACUCAAUUUUUGAACACAUUCCACUCAAAAUCAAGAAAAGUGCAAAUUAUGAAAGUUGCUCUAUUUGAAAAGAUCUAUCCUUUUUAUAUUGGCCAAAAUUUGAGUUCUUAUAUAAAAUUUGUUUUUAUUUGCUUCCCAAGUGCAGCACUACAAAGGUGUUUAAUCUCAAUUUCUCUUGAUUUAAUCUCAAUUUCUCUUGAUUUGGCUCCUAAUUACUUGGGAUGUCACAAAAUGAAGGCUAAUUUGCGAGAUGAAUCUAUUAAAUCUAUUCAGUCCAUGAUUUAACCAUGUGGUGUUACAGUAAAUAUGUGCUAAUCAUGGAUUAAUUAGGCUUAAUAGAUUCGUCUCACGAAUUAGCCACAGCUUAUACAAUUAUUUUUAUAAUUAGUUCACGCUUAGUCCUUCUAGUUGGUAUCCAAACAUUCGAUAUGACCCAAACUAAAAAUUAGUCCAUGGAUCCAAACACCCCCUUAGUUUGUGUUGCGCUUACCCGACCUGAUCCCGUUGAUUGAGCAGAGCCGCGAGUCUUAAUUCCUCUAUCCAACACCACUCCUUGGAAGCACUGAGCAACAACGGCCCAAGCUCCGUCCAUCCGCCGAGGCUGACCAACCGCCUGCUGCCCUUGACUAGGAGUCGGACUCCUCCUUUGAUGGCUCCUGUUGGAUGGCGGAUGCGCCAGACCAUGCAGAAGGUGAUAGAGUCCAAGGCGUCGGAGGCGGAGAAGAAGAAGCAGAACAAGAAGGUGGCCGCAAGGACCGAGGCCCCGACUACAGCAUUUGCCUCCGCGAUUAAGGCCUCGUCUAGGCUGGUGAGCGACGACUCCGACUCUUCUAGCCCUGCCGUGAAAAAGAAGAAGGCUGGGCUCCUUAAGACAAUAGCCGCCGACAUGGAAAAGGUCAUGGAGCGAUGGAAGACGGAAAUCCGCAGAGGAAAGCAGAAGGAGCCGACCCUACCACCGCCAGCGCCUCUCCGCCCAAAGUUUCGAGUGAAGAAGAGCAUGAUGUGAGUGUCUUCAAAAUGUCGUUUGUUGUUGAAAGCUUGUUUGUAUGCUGCAUUGCUUUAUCUUUGUGUCCUGCCAUCUGAGCAGGAAGGCUGUGAUGGAGGAUGAGCCAAACCCGCAGGAUGCUGGCAUUGAGACCCAUGCAGAGGGUCGGACAUCUGAUGCACCCUAGGGGUUGCAUUAGCAUUUGCUACUUAGGCCAGCGGUGAAAGUGGCCUAGUGACGGAGCUUGAGAGGCCCAAGCAGCAGUCACACCUACGCCAAGACGUUGCUGAAGAUGCUGUAGUUGCCGUGCCCGGUGACACGGAUGCCAACGUUGAGGUCCAGAUGGAGGAAGACCCUAGGGAGGCACCAACGAAGAAGACGAUCCUUCCACACUGGACUUCUUCGGGAUGGUUCUGGCGUAGGAGGCUGCUGAGGAUAGGAGAGACCUUGCCGAGCUGAAGCACGCUUUCGGCAAGGUCGCGGAGUUGUUAUAUGUAAGUUAGCCAACCUGAUUUGAUGUUGAUCAUUGUUUCGGGUUUCCUUCUCUGAUUAGUUGGGAUUAUUCUUGCCCAGAACCUGGCCGAGCACGCGCACAAUAGGGGGAUGCCAUCUAUUGCGCCGAGGAGUAUCGACUCAAGGCUGAGCUAAGGAAGGCCAAGGAGGAAUGCCGCAAAGCAGAUAUGACAAAAAGAUCAGGAGAUUGCGGACCAAAAAUAGAUAACCAAGGAUGUCCAGAGCAACCUCGACACCAUGUUGAAUGGUAACGGCUUCGAUCCUUGUUAUGAGUCCAGAUCCUCUAGAUGCAACUAGUGCCUAUUCUUGAAUCUUAUUGCUUUGCAGAUGCCCAGAAGAAAGAAGAGAGCCUUAAGAGAGACCUCAAAGAGUGCAAAGCAGCCAGCUCCCAACUCCAGCAAGAUCAUGUUAUUGCCGUGCACCGUGAGUAUGACGUGUCACAAAAUCUUGCCUAUGAAGCCGACUUGUUACUAUUAGUUGUUUGAUUCCGAGGAAGAUCUCGAGACGAAGACCGUGUAGCAAUGCUUCAUACUCGGCUUCGUUGUUUGAGACUUCCCAAAAGAUUUGAAGUACGUAUUUGAGUUGGUCUCCUUUUGGAGAAAUUAAGAGUACUCCUGCGCCAGCUCCUUCGAGCUUGAGGGAACCAUCGAAGUACAUAACCCAGUGCUCUGGCCUCUCGACUGGUGUUGGUACUUGGUUUUCUAUCCAUUCAGCCAUGAAGUCGACCAAAGCCUGAGAUUUGAUAGCUAUUCUUGGUUUAAAGAGCUCCAAGCUCUACUGCCCAUUUGGAAAUUCUACCCGUGGCAUCUCUGUUGUGAAGGAUUUUGCCGAGCGGGAAGUCGGUGAUGAUUGAAAUGUUGUGUUCUUGAAAAUAAUAUCGCAGGUUCCGUGAGGUGAGCAGAAUUGCGUAGAACAACUUUUGGAUUGGUGGGUACCGAGUUUUGGAGUCUGAUAGUACUUCGCUGAUGAAGUAAACGGGUCUCUGAACUUUGUAAACGUGGCCUGGUUUAGACCGUUCGACUACUACUGCAGUGCUGAUGACGUGAGUAGUAGCCGCUAUGUAUAGGAGCAAGUCCUCAUUUGGGCAUGGAGCGGUGAGGAUUGGUGGUUUUGACAGAAAGUCUUUGAGUUGUGUCAAUGCUUUGUUUGCCUCUUCUGUCCAUUUAAACUUGUCCUGUCUUUUGAGAAGCUUGAAGAAGGGUAGUCCUCGUUCUCCAAGUCUCAAGAUGAAUCGACUAAGGGCUGCCAUGCAGCCUGUGAGUUUCUGCACAUCCUUGAUGCUAGCUGGUGCUUACAUAUUUAUGAUGGUAGAUAUUUUCUCUAGGUUGGCCUCAAUGCCGUGAUGGCUAAUGAUGAACCCGAGUAGUUUGCCGGAAGGUACACCAAGAACGCAUUUGGUAGGGUUAAGUUUCCAGCGGAAAGCUCAUAGGUUUAAGAAGGUUUCCUCCAAAUAGAUGAUUAGGUCCUCCUGUUUUCUUGUUUUGACGACUACGUCGUCCACGUAAGCUUCUAUGUUGCAGUGCAAUUAUUUCUCGAAGCACAUCUAUAUAGCGCGCUGGUAUGUUGCACCCGUGUUUUUUAAUCCAAAUGACAUUGUUUCGUAGCAAAAAGCCCCAAAUGGAGUGAUGAAGGCUGUUUUGGCUUGAUCUUCUUCUUUGAGGCUUAUCUGGUGGUAACCUGAGUAACAGUCAAGAAAGCAUAGUAAAUCGCACCUGGCAGUAGAGUCGACUACCUGGUCGAUCCUGGGUAGUCCAAAAGGGUCCUUUGGACAAUGUUUGUUGAGAUCCGUGUAAUCAACGCACAUUCUCCAUUCAUUGUUUUUCUUGCGAAUGAGUACAGGGUUGGCUAGCCAAUCAGGGUGAAAAACUUCUUUGAUGAACCCUGCUGCGAGUAGUUUGGCUAGCUCUUUUUUUAUUGCUUCUCAUUUGUCUUGGGCGAACCUUCGAAGGUGCUGUCAUUUUGGGGUAGCUCUAGGAUCAACAUUUAGAGAAUGCUCAAUCAGUUCCUUGGGCACACCAGGCAUGUCGGCUGGCUUCCAGGCAAAGAUAUUGUGGUUAGCCCGAAGAAAACUUAUGAGCGCGGUUUCCUAUUUAGGAUCUAGUCCUGUCCCAAUUAGAGCUGUCUUAGAAGGGUCACCAUUCUGGAGAUCAACCAUUUUGAAGUCUGUCUCAUUUGUUGGCUUUACUUUUGCUGGCCCCGACUUGUUUUCUGGGAUUUCAAGUUCUAUUGGAUAAAGUUUCUUUGAAACUAAAAAAACUUGUUGCAUGGGGCUAGGUCCUUAAGAAGUUGCUGCAAUUUCCACGGCUUCGGUGUCGCAUUCAUAAGAUCACCUUAGGUCUCCUCGUAGUGUUAAUUCUCCCUUGGGUCCUGGCAUCUUGAGUACCAAGUAAACGUAAUGUGGUACAGCCAUGAAUUUAGCCAAAGUUGGUCUCCCGAGUAUGGCAUGGUAAGAGGUCUCGAAGUCGACGACUUCAAAUCUGAUGUACUCGGUUUGGUAAUGUUCCUUGGUGCUGAAAGUUACUGGUAGGAUGACUUGUCCUAGCGGUAUGACUGCGUUUCCUGCUACAAUCCCGUAAAAGGGGGAGUCUAUUGGAGUGAGCAUGUCUGUGAUGUCAAGACACAUCUUUCUUAGUGUUUUGGCAAAAAUGACGUUGAGUCUGCUUCCGCCAUCAAUAAGUACUUUUGUUAGUCUUGAUCCUGCAACAACAAGGUCGAGUACUAGGGGAAAUCGGCCUGGUUCUGAGAAGUUUGUCCAUUGGUCCCUUCUGCUGAAGGUUAUGGGUACCGGAGACUAUUUUAGCGUUGUUGGAUCUGUUGAUUUGAUGGCCAUAAUCUCUAUGAGUACCAAUUUGCUAGAUCGCUUGGAUGCGGAACCUGGGAUUCUGCCAAAAAUUGCGUUGACUAUUUUGGAGGCGGUCUGGAAGUCUCCUUCUCCUUCUUCAUCCUUAUGGAUUUUGUUUUUGCCCUUAUCCUUUUUCUGGUUGUACUCUUCGGGAGGUGGUGGUGCAGGUAAAUCUUGCAUUACUCGGCGCAUGUUAUAGCAGUCUAUUGCUGAGUGUUUGCUAUUUGGGUGCCAUGGGCAUUAUUUUUUGAGUAGUUCGGUGAAGCUUGGUCCAUCAUCGUGUUUGCGGGAUCCCUUCUUUCCUGAGUUGGUCAUGGAAGCAACGGUGUUGUUAGGUUUGCGUUUGCAAUUUUGGUUACUCGAAUAGUUAUUUCGAGUAUCAUUGUUUCGGCCAAAUCGCUUGCGUUCUUUAUCUUCUUCAUCUGCCCAUUGUUGCACGAUGAUUUUGAGGUCUUUGACGGUGACUGGUCAUCGUCUGCCAAAAUCCUGGUAUGUUCGACGAUCAUAGAGGCCAUUUUAAAAGCUCUCGAUAACGUCUAUUUCUGAAAUGUCGACUAUAGUGGCCUUCUUUUCAAAGAAUCGCCAUAGGUAGUCGCGCAGUGUUUCGCCUUCCUUUUGUUUUACUUGACUUAGGUUGAUCUUGUUGCCUGGUCUAGUCAUGGAGCCCAUGUAGUUGUUGGUGAAGGCUUUUGUCAGAUCUUCCCAAGAGUCAAUUGUUUUAGGUUUGAGUGAUUCAAGCCAUGUUAGGCGCGUGGGUUCCAUGCAUAUGGGAAAAUGGAUGACUUUUGUGUCAUUAUUGCCUCCGGCUGCUUGGACUACCAACGAGUAGCAUCGGAGCCAUUGAAUUGGGUCUUGCUUGCCAUCAUACUUGGUGAUUCCUGUUGGCUUGAAUUUUUCGGGUAGUCUUGUUCUCAUUACCCGUGUUGUGAAGGCGUGAAAAUGGUUGUAGUUGUCGAUUUCACGUUCGCGGCGACUAUUGAUUAUUUCCCAUAGAUCGCUGAAAUUUGAUACUUCAUGAUUUUUCCUCAUAUGGCGAGGACUUUUUGCGGAAUUAGUGCAGCUGGCCUCUCCAACAUCCUUUGUCGUACUAGGGCUUCGCAUUUGCUCAGUCCUUGGCUAUGUUGCCUUGGUUGGUUGACCACCUCGUUGUUGUUUCGUUGUGCUUCGUGGAAGCCAUUGUUGACUGCGGCACCCCUACUGCCCUCUCGAUGGGCUGAGUUGCGAGGAACAUAUGGGAUUGGUGAUUCUUUAUCGAGUAGCUUGUAAGCUUGUUCUGCGAGUUGUGCAAUUAGUCCAUUGCCUCGCUGCGCAAGUUGAGCUGUUAUUUCGUUAUCUCUGUCUUGAGGUAUGAGAAUUAAUAUAAGGUUGAUUGAGGCAAUUGCUGGGAGUGGGGUGUUGUGCUCUUGAGCUUAUACUGCGUCAAAUGCUCUUUCAAGGUUUGUGAUGGGAAUGUUUGUGGCUAGCAAUUGUCGACGUUUAGCUCGAGUAAUGUUUCGUAUCCUUCUUUGGUUUCAUUGAUCGGAAGUUUCGUCCUGCGGAGCGUUAGCCGAUGUCUCAUCCUCUGAAACGUUAUCGAGCUGCGCUAUCCGUCAAGGGGUUCUCUGUUGGCUAGUGCCCACAUUAUUAUUUUGAGUGAUGACAAAGAAUUCUCUAUCUCGGUAGUAGCUUCUGGAGCUUGAUGUUGCAAUUUCUGUAGUGCUCUCCUCGCGGCUUGAAGUGAGCAGGAUGCCUUCUUCGUACGGGAGGUUGUCUAUGUGAGCGACAAGGCACGACUCGUAGUCGCAGGUAAGGAGAGAUGGCCUCAUUCUUGGCCAGUGAACGAAUCUGCCCUGCGGCGUUGAAGUUACUACCAAACCUUAGGCUGGCCCUGAUAAUGGAAUUUCUUGGACGUAGUCCGAGUUGGAGUCACAGUCCUUGUCUUCCCCGUGUUCGAGUUGAGUUCGAGUGAGGAGACAUUGGUAGACUUCGGCUGUAUUGCGGAGUCCGUAUGGGAAUCGUUUUUGAGUUGAAGUUGACUUGUGAAGUGACUGGGGCUUCGGCUUGUGUCGACUAAUCCGAGCUGGGGUCGAGUCCGAAGCGUAGUCGAACUCGGUGUCGCUGACUUUGAAAAUUUGGCUUUUCUUGAAAAAAUCCCCCGUUUUUUGCUGAGGAAAGCUUCUGUCGAGAGGUUUCUUCUCCUGGAUGUGAAACGAUCCAGCGCCGUCGGCGAUGCAGAGCCAAGAUCCGAAAACAAAAGUUGCACCUGCCUCGAAGGUGAAAACAGGCUUGAUAAUGACAGAUGCCAUCAAACUCGCGCGGAGAAACUCGGCGACUGCCCCUACCUAGCACGCCAGCUGUCGGUGUUUUAGACGAGCAACCCACCUAGGGGGUACCCUAGGUGGUCUUUUGUGCGGUGGGUGUAUUCGAGAAUCAAGGAGUCAAUGGUGACGCAAGGAACACGAUUUAGACAGGUUCGGGCCGCUAGAUGGUGUAAUACCCUACGUCCUGUGUGUUAAUUGUAUUGAACUUAGAUGAGUUGUCUUUGAGGGGGUCGUUGCCCGCCCUUAUAUGAUCGGGGGAGCAGGGUUACAGGCUAGAAUCCUAGUCAGAUACAGUUAUAGAAUUCCACUCGGUGUAUACAGAGUAGUUUCCAUAUGUAUGUUGACUAGUCUUUGGGAGUCCGAGUGGGCUAUGUUCCUUUGCCGCGUAGCCCCCGAGCCUUGAUUACGUCCGAGUAUGCCCCUUAGUGGGCCGCACAGGGCCUACUCGUGGGCCUGGGAUGUAUGCCCGACAGUUACCCAUGCUACUGGUCCUCGUAACGCUGGCUCACGGUCCGAGUCCGCGCCUAUUGCCGCACGCUCGCGGACACCACCCUCGGUGUUGCUAAAGGAAGAUACACUUGCGCUCUUUAGCUGCACCAUCUGCCAUCGCAGUCGGCUCAUCGUCCUGCUAAACUUGUUGGCAAGAAGCUGCUGAUUUGUAUAUUCAGGCGCCUUUGCUGACGCUUCGGACCCGUGUCCUCCUCCACGGCUUCGAUCAUGUCCACCUCGACCUCGGCUACUUUGGCACUAAGGGGCUACCAUCUGCUUGACAAGCCUCUUCGGCUCCCAUUCCAGCCACAACAUCUACGGCGCAUCGACGGUUGCGACUGCGGGGGGAUGUCAUCUCUUUGGCUUAUUCUUCAGUCUCAUCGUCUGCGCGUUUCCAUUGUGACUGCGGGGCAAUGUUAGAGUAUAUUAGGCAACUCCGGAUAUGGUUAGUUUAGGAUUGAUUGUAAUCCCAUGAUAACCUUCCUUAUCUCUAGGAGAUGCUACAUGCCCUCCAAGCCAUGUACUCCUAUAUAAUCAGCCCAAGGAGCUCAAGCAAUACAUCCCACGCAUUAUACACGAUCUUACAUGUAUUGAAAUUGGUAUUGUAGAGUAAUUAGCACAAUAAUAAUAUAAGGGUGAUAUGCAUAUGUGCUUAAGUGUUACUGAAAUGCUCGCGGUAGGGUGUUUGGAUGUGCUUGUAGUAGCAUACUAUUUGGAUAUAUUCAUGGUAGAGAGAAUGUUUGGAUGUGCUUGUAGUAGCAUAUCAUUUAGAUAUACUCAUGGUAGCGUACAUGAUUUUGAGAUGGAUACUAGAAAUAGCAAAGCCACGCCUUUUGGGGAUUGGGCUUUGGAAGAACUUUUGCUUGCCUUGUCAAAAAUUCAUAAUUCAAACUUUGAUAAACCUGAAUGACCUAGCUAGAGAAAUGGAACGCUUCUGGUUCGUGUGCCUGAAAAAAGAAAACAUAUCCUCCUGCGUUGCAAGAUUAUAACAUCGAGACCGUGGACUUGAUCUGAAUUUUUCAUGCUAUGUAGAUGGUUAUUCACUUAGAUGUAUUGUAAAAUAGCAUGUUUUUGGCAUAUUCAGACAUAUGAGCACUGUGUAUUGUAAGAAUCCAAGGGAAACAGAUUUACACACCAAUUGAUGUGCAUUAAAUAGACGUAGAAGCCAGCUUUUCUUCUGUUGCCAUAUUUUUUUUUGUUUUGAUAAAAGACUUCAUUCAAGCUUAAAAGCAAUGUACAUGGAGAAAGGUCAGAUGACCCCAAGUUACAGAUUGGAUCGCUGCAAGAACAGCACACAUUCAGUGAAGAUUGGUACACACAGAAUCUAAGUGGCCAAUCAGAAGAAAGACUUCUAGCUGAAACUGCUAAUUGAUGAGCUGCCUCAUUCUGAACUCUAGAGAUUUUAGAGCAACUCCAAGAGUUUCUCUAAAUUUUUUUCCUCAAAAUUAUGUAUUGGGAGCUUUUCUAAUUUUUUUCCCUAAAAUCAUGUUAUCCCACCGCAGAUCUCCAACAAUAACCUUCCUAAUAUUUCAAAACAGGCCACGUCAGCACGAUUGGGCCCAUCAGGGCUGGCCUCACCUUCCACCUCACGAUCUGUUUCUCCCGUCGCCCCUUCUAGCGCCGCCACCACUCAUCCACCCUUCCAUCCCUGCAAAUUUGCUGCUGCGUUCUACAAUCAUAAUUGGAGAUAGGUAAAAUGGAUUCGUUAUGAGUCGAUAAAGCUUUUCCAUUAAACGGGUGCUGAAUUUAUCGUCAGAUAAUGAUGAUAAUGACGGAUUCUUCUUCUCCGUUGUGGGAAAGGAGUACAUGGGGGAGCGAUUGGGGAAGAGCGGAGUCACGGAAAUUUGCGGGGCGUCGGAGGAGUUAUUCGCGUCGCUGAAUUUUUGCGGGGAGCACAGGGGAGCUAUUGGAGGCUCAAUUUUAAUGUUUUUCUCCCUAAUUAAGGUCUUGGGAAUAAUAAAAGGGAGCUUUUUGGAGUUGCUCUUGAUCACUUGCAAAGCAUCCAGUAAGGCAAGUUCCUGAAAAUGAGAGAUCCAUGGACGAAGUUUCAAUGGAGAAUCUAAAGGCGACUUGUGCAGAUGUGUGAUUGCCUUGUUCUUCUGUUGCCAUAUUGGUCUUGGUCACACACUGAACCACCAACGUUGCUGGGAAGAUGAUAUCUAUUCACGGGGGAAUGCAAAUGAGGGGAAAAAAAAAGGGGGUCAACGAUAUUAAAAUCUCGACCGGUGAGGGAAAGACUGCCUCCAUACGGUUACAUAAGAAGGACUUAACCGUAGCCCAUCCGACAAAGGUCACGAAAGCUGACCCCCCUCAUACAUGGAGAUGCCACCCCCUGUGGUUUUGGGCCUUUACCCGUGCUUUGAGGCCCAACCUACGACCAUCCCCUUACACGUGGCUCGCCCACCACUACUAGAAAAAAGACCUUUCUUCCACUCCCUUAGUACCGAUCACAUUUUGACCCGGUACUAAUGUUAGCAUUAGUAUCGGGUCUAAAUUUAGGACCCCCGAAGGUCUUUUAGUACCAGGUCGUAACACCACCCGGUACUAAAGUGGUACUAAAAGGUAUAAAACUUUUGGUACCGGGUCAUAACACCGCCCGGUACUAAAGGAGCACUUUUAGUACCGGGUGAUGUUAUGACCCGGUACUAAAGACUCUCCACGGGUUACUUCAAAAGGAAAAUAUAUCUACCUCCAUCACAUACGCUACGUAGGUGGGAUGGCAAGGAAGGCUCGCACGAGGCUUGAUGUCGUUGGUUCGAAUCCCAUAGACCGCGCACGACGCGACUAAAGGGAUCCCUUUACCCUUUAGUACCGAUUAUUUGACCCGUUACUAAAGGUCACCUUUAGUACCAACAUAGCAACGAAAGGUCCCCUUUAGUACCAACAUAGCAAUACUUGUUGUACAACCGGUACUAAAAGGUCCCUUUAGUACCAACAUAGCAAUACCGAUUGUACAACCGGUACUAAAGGUGGGUUUGGAACCGGUACUGAAAGCGGAAUCCCCAGUAGUGCACCACAGGUCGGUUCACCCAUGCCGACCAGGGGAACCAGCGAGUGACUUUUUUAAUCCAGCCUCAUUUAAUUCGCUUCCACUGGGAGUCGAACUUAGAUCUACUGGGUGCUACUCAAGCACUCUAACCACUGACCUAGAGGCAAGGGAUCAAAGACAAUACAAUACUUAUUUUUCCGCUUAUAUGUGCCUCUCGCCAUUGUUCAUAUUUGAGCUUUUUUAACAUAACUGCAUGACAUGUGGUUAACAGGUAUCAAUAUCGAAUCCAAUUCCUUCAGAGUACCUUACAAACCUUUGCUUAGAUAAUUUCUUAUAUACACUCAUGGUAAUUGUCCUUUUUAAGGUAAGCUUCACUUUCUUAAGUUUUCUGACUACUAAUCUAGCAGCACGAUCAGAAUUGCUCAAGCAGGCAAGCAGUAGCCCAGUAGGAGCGCACGACGCAACAAAGAAGACUUACCUCAGUGAGGCCUAGAUUGAAGGGGGCGGACGGACGGACGGAGAUCCUACACAUCUUCCCGGAAGGUAGGAAGCCCACUCAUCUUCCAAAUUUUGAGAUUCAUGCAUAGGUUGUGGACCGUGCGAUCCGCUUCUUCCUUCCUCCUCCACGCGUCUUCUCUCCGCUCCUGAGCGUGCCACCGCCAUCAUGCACGCCAGGGCUGCCGCCAUGGGGGCUUAGGUUUUGGGUUCUGGGGGUGGGGCCUCUCCGGUGGUUGCCGGAUUAGAAGGAAGCUCGGGAUGACUGGCUGGUCCGGUGAUGGAGGCAGACGAAACGACGGUGAGGUCGGCGGCGGGGUGACGUGGCGUCUUUGGUGGUCAGUCAACCACAGUGGUGGGCGCCGGGCAACACGGCGUGGUGGCGAGGACGCCGGCGGCCGUGGGCGGUGGAAGAUGACGGUGGGGGUGUCACGUUGCGGCUCGGUUAGCGUGGUCAGGGCAGCGGAGGCGGAUCCGGCGGUGGCAGCCGCGAGCGGUAGGCCGGCGGGGCGGGGGAGUUUCGCCGGAGAGAAAGAAGAACCGGCGAGGUGGGCAGUGCUUUGGGAGGAGAAAGACGGCUAUUGGGCCGUGCGAUGGAUAGUGUUCCAUCUUCCAUGUUAUGGAUAAGAGUCCCCGCGGACAGAUGGACGGAGUCGUGAUUGGACGUCAUGCGAGGGGGUAGCCGAAAGCUGCUGGUGGUGGCCGAUGGCGUAACUUGCUCACGGACAGUCCGGACUCAGGAACCGACAAUGUCCGUGUUAACCUGGCUAGGCGAGCACGAACCAACC
This 14182-nucleotide long non-coding RNA is filed under the name Setaria italica (foxtail millet). Its description in RNAcentral is "long non-coding RNA (SITA_LNC002832)". The record is from RNAcentral. Lineage: Eukaryota; Viridiplantae; Streptophyta; Magnoliopsida; Poales; Poaceae.